Aethalodelphis obliquidens (Pacific white-sided dolphin) is the source of this 8593-nucleotide long non-coding RNA. RefSeq lists it as uncharacterized. NCBI's taxonomy places the organism in Eukaryota, Metazoa, Chordata, Mammalia, Artiodactyla, Delphinidae. The record is from RefSeq and is a predicted model, not a curated record. The transcript is spliced from 2 exons.
CGCAAAAAAAAAAAAAAAAAAGUAAAUGCACAACAUUUAAAGUAGAAACACAAAUGGCUAAUAACAUUUCUGGAAAACAGUUUCAUCCAACAAAUAUUGAUCUGCUGAGUGCUGGGCCCUCUGCUAGAUGCAGGGAUACAAACAUGAUGGAUAUACUGUUCCUGCAGUUCAGGAGCCCGUAUUUGCUGGGCUAUUUCAUGAUAUAUACCUAGAGUCUUGAAAUUACAAAAGGUAAACUGUUUUCUCACCCUAGAGUCAGUUAUGUAAAAGUGCAGGGGUAACAAACGACACCGACGAUUACAACCGUUAAGACUUCGAAUUUGCAUUCUACCGUGAAUGUUUUCAUACUUCUGGUCCUGGUAAUUCCACUUUGAGCCUCUUAAAUCAAAUGAUCAGUGAUGUGAUUUCUACUCUUCCCUCCCUGAUAAGAGGAGAGUCUUGGAUUUGGUCCAGAAUGGAGCUCUGAGAUCAGGAAGUACACAAGGUUGACCUGUGGGUUAAGAAAGUAACUUGCAGCUUUUUUGCAAUGUUAUUAUUUGUUUUUAUAAUUUCACAGAAAGGCCUAAGACAUUUUAAAAUCUUGCAAGAUAUCCAAGUGAUACUAGCCAAAUUGCCCAUCUUGGUUUCUGGGCAAUAUCCCCAAGAUAUGGUAGAGCCUACUCAUUACCAACCAAAUAUCCAUUCUGACUUGCUAUAUCAAAUGAACAGAACUCCUUUUGCCCUUUGCCACGAGCUAAAAGACUGUAUUUCCCAGCUCUCUUGCAGCUAUGAGUAGCUUGAUGGCUAAGUUCUCGCAAACUGAGUGAAAACAGAAUGUUGUGUGAAACGGCAAAUAUUUCACUAGAAUCCAAUCUUAAAUAAAACUACUACAACAAAAAUCAUGCUAAGUAGGAAAACAUUGGAAGUUUUCUUUUGAAAAUCAGGAAAAAAGUGCUCUCAUCACUUCAGUACUUUAUAGACACCCUCUACAGCACAAUAAGUCAAGAAAAAUAAAUUUAAACACAUAAUGGUUGAAAAGGAAAUAAAACUCAUUAUUUACAGAUAAAUGUCUACAUAGGAAUCCCCCAAAGAAUCUAAAAAUAAAUUAGACUAAUAGAAGACUUCGAUAUGAUGAAUACAAAAAAUACAAUUUCAUUUCUAUAUAUCAGACACAAACAAAAUAUUACUUUUAAAUAUUAAUACUGAUUUACAAUCAGCAUAAAAUUAUAAAUUCCAGGGGAAAAACUCUAACAAAAGUUGUGCAGAUUUUAUACAGAGGAAAAUUAUAAAAUUUUAGAGCCAAAGACCAAGGUUAAGCAAGAUAUUACUGAAGAAGGAACAUAAUGGGGGGGUGCUUAUCCUCGAAGAUACAAUGGUUUAUUAUAAAGUUAUAGUAAUUAAGGUAGUGUAGUUCUGGUACAGGACUGCACCAACAAACUGACAGAUGGAUGCAACAGAGAGCCCAGAAUCAAACCUGUGCAUACGGGAGAUUUUAAGACACUGGACGUAUAGACACACUGGAAGUAGUGGGAAAAGGAAACACUAAUAAACAAAUGGGGCCAAAAAAUUGAAAUCAGCUCUUACUUCAUAUAUAAAAAUCCAAUCUAGAAGCAUUAAGAGCUUAAAUGUCCAAAGCAAACACUAACUUUUAGAAGAAAAUAUAAGUGAAUGUCUUUCUGAUAUUAAGGAAUAAUUUUCUAAACAAGACAAGUUUAAUAAUCAUAAAAGGUGAUAUUAACAAAUUCAGAUUCAUUAAAAUGAGCCAUCAAAACGUGUGAUCAAAAGAUACUUUAAAGAAAAUAAAAGCUACAACUUGGGAGAAGUUAUUACUACAAAAAGAAUUACCAUGCAGAAUAUAUAAAGAUUUCUACAGACAAAGAAGUAAAAGAAAAGUAGCCUAAUAGAAAACUGCACAAAAGAUUCAAACAGGCAUCUCACAGAAAAGGAAAUAGAGCAAAGAAACAUUUGAGAAAUGUAAAUGAAAACCAUACAGAGAUACCAUUUUACAACUAUUGAUAAAAGUUAAGAAGUCUGACAUGUCAAGUUUGAAGGGAAUGUGAAUCAGUGUGAUCACAUUGCUGGUAGGAGUGUAAAUUAAUACAACCACUUUGGAAAAUAAUUUGUCAUUGACCUGUAAAGUUCACGCGUUAAGACCCAGUAAUUCCACAUCUAGGUACAUACCCAAAAGAAACAUUAGCACCUGUGUAAUAUGAAAUAGAUAGGAGAAUGUUCAUAGCAGGAAAGCUUGUUUUAGAAAAAGAAAUAGAAAUGACCCAAAUAUCUGUUGGCAGGAGAAAAUAUAUAUAGAAUUUGGUAGACUCACACAAUGGACUAUAACACAGAGGUGAAAAUAAUGAACUACGGUGUUACCACGUGGAUGUCUCAGAAUCAGUGUUGAGUAAAAAGAACAGGGUACAGAAAACAAACUACAAUGUGAUAAUCAUUUUAUUAACCAAGCAAACCCAAUUAUAUAUUAUUUAGGUGUAUAAGCGUAUUUGGUAAGAUUCAUUUUAAAAAGCAAAAGAAUGACAAACACCAAAUUUAGGAGAGGAGCAACCUAUGUGAGAGGCAGAGGACAGGGAUAGAGAGGGUGCCCUGAGGUCAAGGGAAAAUGGUGGUGAUGGUCUAGUUCUUGGUUGGGCAUUGGUUUCAGCAGGUGUUCAUUAGCGAAUAAAAAUAACAAAGUAAAAUAAAGCCGUGCAAGGAACAAUGCUGAGAGUGUGCCAUGAAUCAAGAAUUUCUAUUAUUUGCAUUCUGUGCACUUGUAAUCUAUUUUUUAAAUCGUUAAAAAAUUUUUUUAAAAAAAGGCUGUGAAAACGGUAAAAGAAAUUUUCCGUAAUCCCACUACCCCAGUGCAGCAAGCAACUCCUCCUCAAAGUGUCAGUUAAUGACCUGGAACGUGCCUCUGUGGGUUUCCAAUGAAGUGUGAAGUGCUGCUGUUCUUGUCAACAAACUGUCAAGCCACUUGUGCCACUUCCAGCAGCUCUAAGGUCAGGGGAAUGAUUUGGAAAACUUUGGCAGGGAACUUUAGGAAAGAAACAAAAAAGGUGUCACCUGAGGCUCCUCAGGGACCGUGCUUAGUUUGUUUUAAAAAUCUGGUUCCAAAAGGCUCGUCUAAAUUCUAGAGAAAACAAAUCAGGGUAUUGCAAAGUCAAUGUGUAUUGCAAGUGUCAGCGUUUUAGGUCAUGUUUAUAUUGUAACCUGCUUUGUACUUUUCUUCUGUGUGAUUCAUGGUUAAAAUUUUCUUGAGAACUUAUUACAGCCCUCAGUUUGCAUUUCUGACAGAAAUCAUCAAAUCAUAUCUGAUAUGUUUGAUGUCAAAUCCCUAAUCAGGAAUGUAACUCCAAGUUUAUAACCUUGUUCUCGUGAUAAAAAAUACAAUGCACUUGGCAGAAACCUGUUUUAUGAUGCUCCAACUUAUGUGAUGGUUUCGAGAAAAUUUUUAUAGCAACAGCUGAGGGUUGCCCCCUCACUAAAAUAUUAAUUACAUAGUCGGUGUAAAGCAAUCCAUCUGGACUUCACUUUAUACUGUACAUGUUUUCCUAAAAUGGUGCCUGUGAAACAAAUCCUUGUCUCCAUUACUUCACAUUAUCAUUUCAAAAGCACUUUAUCUUUCUUUCUGCUUGAUCACACUUUGAGGUGGCACCUCCAAAAUGUCAGCUCAGAGUCUCUCUGCCCUUCAGCCUCUCUGAUGAGUAAGUUAACGAUCUGUAAAUAAAUCCUUAAAUGUCCUCAGGAAUCUGCCUUUUGAAGGAAUCCUAUUAGAAACUGAAGAAUCCUUCUGAAAUGCAAAUACUCUCGUCCUUAUUGAACUGGCCUGAAGUGGGCUUUCUGGAGGGGAGCAAACCCCCAACAGAGCCCCUGCCUACCUUUUAGUGGUUCUCAUUGUCUUUUGGGGGAGAGAGGGAAGAAGCAGCCUAGAAAAUCUUUAUCUCAUAUUUUUCAAGAGGAAUAGGAGGAAGAUCGAAAAUAGUCAGGUCUGGCGGCUUAAUCUGGGUUGGCUGCUUUUGCCAGCAAUAUGUAAAAUGUGUUUUUCAAGGAUAAGGAGUUUGGGCCCUGGGCCAAAGCUCACGUCUGUCAUCGACAGGAAGAUGAACGAUCUCUUUAACCCACUGCUAUGCUCUUGUUUACCUUGGUACUUGAUCGUGAACACCAUGCCUGCUGCAGGCCCAGAGCUGCCCAGGGCUGAUCCUUCCCUUUUUCCAGGCAGGACCUUCAUGUCACCAGUUGGGUGGGCAUGACAGGGCCUGCCCUUUGUGGGUCAAACUCCAAACCAGCACCCCUCCCUAGAACUGGUAUUUAGCUUCUACAUGUUGCCUAAGAGGCUCAGGAAGGGAACUGGAAGUACUUUUACUUUUUAAUGCCCACAAAGGUCAUUUCCCAAGAGGUGGGAAGAAUACACACAAGGUUCUUACAAGAGACGAAUGGCCAUCAACUACCAACCACCGAGAGUCUCUGGGGCAAGAACCCUGGCAGAGUCUGGGCUUCACGCACGGAGCUGGAGCAGCACAGCCCGCUACUCUGUAGAGUCUUAAGGGGAUGUCUGCUCAACCGUGUUUCCUGUAAAGUUAACACAGCAGUGCUGAGGGCAGAGCUCAGAGCAGAGGGUUCAGGCAUGAAAAAGGGAUGGGACUGGCAACGUGGCAAGGCCUUGACCCCUUCCAUCUGGCCCUCUCCUGCCUUCCCCGAUCAGCUGAGAAAAAAAAAAAAAGCACAACCUAAAAUUUGAGAAUUAUGUGUUACCUGGCGGUCUUUCUGAGAACUCCAAGCCCAGGAGGCAGCCUCUCAGAUAGUUCUAAGAGACUGUUCCCAUGAGGUAAGGGAGGGGCCAGGAUAUAUAGGAGUUUUGCAACAAAGACCAGGUAACUGGAACAUCAGAAGAUUUCUGUUAAUUAAAGAAAACCAGUAUCUCAAGUUAAUGAAUUCAGUGCUUUUCUGCAUAUGGGAAGAUGCAAGAGCCUGGGUUCACUGACGUCAUUCCUUUGAUGUGCACCUUUGCUACCUAAGGCCAGUAUCCUGGGGUUUCCCAUCCUGAUGUCCUGAUGCACUGUAGAGGUGGCUGUAGCCGCUUGAUGGCUGGAACGUCCUUUGUCUACUGAUAAGGCAGCCACAUUUUUCAUUCACCCCCCCCUCACCAGGAGAGCUGUUUCCUCAGGGGUGGAAAAGAGCAGGGGGUUCUAGCUCGUUCAGGAACCACACGGGGCAGGGCUUCCCGGGAGCCUGGACACGCACGAGAUUUCCCUGCGUCCUGUGCCCUGCCCUUCUCCCAGCGUCUGACUUGCACCUCCUCCGUCAAGAGCAAGUGGACAGGCCCAGCCAAGAGCUGAGAGAGAAAGAGACUGACUCUGACCAAGAGGCAGGGAAAGAGAGACAGAGGAGGGACAGCCAGUGACUAAGUCACUCGCUCAGCCCAGCUUCCCCAAAUCCUGCUUCUGAAACGGGUAGGAGUAUGCAGAGGACAGGACCACGAUGGAGCUGGGGAGUGGGCUGCCACGGAAGGAUAAGAGGAGCCACGGAAUCAAAGUGGCAUCAUCUCAAUCCUACUCAAAGAUUUGGAAAGGAAACAUUGGAGUUUGUUAAACUUAUAACGUUACUUUUUUUUUUUUAACAUCUUUACCAGAGUAUAGUUGCUUUACAAUGGUGUGUUGGUAUCUGCUUUAUAACAAAGUGAAUCAGAUAACAUUACUUUUUAAACAAAGACAACCCUUUUUUUUUUUUUUUUCUGAAGUUGGGUCCAGCUACACCCUUGUUUGUGACUAAAAAGCAAUGACCCAAAAUAGCCCCCAGCCUGUAGCCUCUGUCCACUUAACCCCUCCCUCACCAGGCUUUCCUUGGGCUCUCACUGUGUGCCCCGAUGGGAAAGGUGCUGUUUCUUCCCUCAGGGAGCUCGAAGUCCAGGGAGAAGGAGACAAGUUCAUGGGUGUCUUCAGUGUGAAAGGCUGGGCCCUGACAGGGGACCUGGGAGAAAGCUAGAAAGAGAGGUAGUAAAGCACGGGAUUGGGGUGAUGAGCGAGCUCCCUACCAAGCAGUCACAUCGCCCUGGUCAGGUUCCCUGCCCUCCCAGGUGCCCAUUUCUUCACCUGCCAGAUAAAGGAGUUGCAGGGGACGGGGACCGACGCUGAGGCCUUGCUGGCUUGACGUGUCUGCGGCUCCCUUCACACACACCUCUGCAGAGCCUUCUGCUGUCGAGGGACAGAGCCCAGCCCGAGGGCAGUGCAGGUGGGGUUGGGAUGUGUCAGGCUCCUCCUGACUCCAGAAACCAAAGAUGGUCAUGGCCGGCCCCAGGAUGUCCUAUGUUGCCUGGCAAGCGGGGAGUAGUGUGUGGCAGCGUUGGUCCUGAAAUCUUGCCAGCUGGGCGUGAGGAACAGGCCUGGCGGAAUCCAGGGCAUGUUCACCUCUCACCGGAGGAGCCAGACUCGAUUCUGGCUGUUGCAGAGGCGCCGAGGAUUUGUUCUGGAAUUGUGAGCACCACAGCGACCCCACCCCAGAGAGCACCCCCCUGCACCCCCAGCCCUGCAGCUUCCUCUUCCCGUUCAUUGGUUGCUAGGCAGUACCUGAGAGGAAUUUCACCUCAUCUGGGCAGGUAGCCAAGGGCACAUCUGUAGAGAAUUUCAUAUCCCCCUGCCCCACCAAAAAACACUCAAAGUUAUUGCAUAAAUGUGAGACUUAAGGAGCUCCUGCCUGAGAAACGUACUUGCCCUCCUCCUAUAAGCAGUGCUGUUUUCAAGACCAGUCUUUUAAGUCCUUCGGAGGAAUUCCUGUCCCUCAGUCAAGAUUUAGCCCCAGUGGCCUCCUCCUGUCCAUCCUGUGCACUUCCUUUGUGCACAUCUCUACCAGAGCUUAAGAGCACAGCCUUGCAAUUCAUCUGUAGAUGUGUCAGUCUCCCCACCAGGCCCUGAGCAGAUUCUCAAGGGCAGCAACUGUUCAGGGUGGGGCUUCCAUCACCUACUAAGGAGGCCUCUGCCAAUGCCAAAGAUCUGUGAAGAUUGCAGUCAGUUCCAAAGAUUCUUGUCUCAACUAUUAUCAUCUUAAUUGCUAUGGUCUCAGUUCCUUGCAUAACAGUUUACUUAUUUAUUUAGACCUCAUCUGUCUUACUGAAUGGUGGUGGGUCAUCUGGGGGUCAGACCCAAUGACUGAUGGGUCAUCUGGGGGUCAGAAAAACAGUGAAAAAACGCUGACACUCUGGCUACUACUAUUUCUAGGGAUAAUAAAGUGUCCUUCUCUGACCCAGGAGUCUCAUGUCUUCCACCAAUAUCCAUGAAUUGUGGCAGGUUAACUUAUGAGCCCACGAGUAGGGUAAAAUUGCAGGCCCUUCACAGUUCUUGACAGCUUGGAGCACUGCAGGUAGAGGAAGCAGAAUAUGCAAAGGCCCUGAGGCUGGAGGAUCACAGCCUAUUCUAGGAGAUCAGAAUUGCCAGGAGAUGAGAAUGACUAUGGGAUACAGGUGCAGUGUGAGGUGGCAAGCAAUGACUUCCUUCAGGCUUCUGCUCAUAUAUUACCUUCCCUGACCAUCCUGUUUAUGACCAUCCUAUCUAUCUGGCAGCUUUAGAGAUCCUUUCAAGUAUUUUGUGAUUCUCAUUUUAGGGCAAUGAUCCCUUUAGCAGUGUGGGGAGCUCACUGAAGGAGAACAAGACCAUGGGAAGCUGGAAGACCAGGUAGAGGUUGGUGCGUAAUCUAGGAGGAUGACGCUGUCUGGAUUUAGGCCAUUAUAGGUAGAGAAAAAAAUGGAUGAGUGUUAAAGCUAUUAAGGAUGUAGAAUUGAUGGGACUUGGUGAUUGAUGGGGUGCAAACAAGUAGGGGUCACAGAUGGCUAUUGGGGUGACUAGGUAAAUGGUUCAGGGAGUUCAGGAGAAAUGGGGAGAAUUUCAAAGGGAAAAUUUUUGGCUUAAUAUUAUCUGCAAAACUGAAGUAAAGGCCUGGAAGCAUUGUUUGACAUAAAUUCAAUAGCAAGUAGUCUGUUGCUGGUGCCAGGGUCGGAAUGUGGUUCAGCCUCAGUCCUAAGGCUCACAAACGCACGGAGAAGCAGGUUACUGGGCUUUCUGAUGACUGAGGCCAGCUCCAGCAUGGAUAGCCCCCAUUUAACUUGACGUAUUCACUCUUCUCCAAUUCCUCUUUUCUUUUUCAAUAUUUUUAUUGAUAUAAUUAAAAUUUUCAGUUUUUUAUUUACAUGCAGUAAAAUGCACAGAUCUUGAGUGGACAUCUCUAUGAAUUUGUACCUAUGCAUAAACCAUGUAACCACCACCCAAAUCAAGAUACAGAGCAUCCCCAUGUCCCCCAGGAAGUUCUCUGUGCCCCUUCCAAGUCCAAGAUGCUAAAACCCCCACCAAGUGGAAGAAGUUAACUACACGAUGACCAUGAGCAUGCAGCCCCCAGACCGGCUGGAGCCUGAAGAUGAGUAAUGUUAACCCCUGUGACACCACCCUGUCACCUCACCAUCAACCAGAGAAUUGUGCAUAAGCUGAUCACAUGCCCUGCGACCCCCCACUCCCUCACCUUGCCUUUAAAACUGCUUACCUGACAUCCAUCUGGGAGUUGGGGGUUUUUUGAGCAUUAGAUGCCUGGGACUCCCUGUCUGGCACCUUAAAAUAAACUACUGCCCUUUCCUUCACCACAA